UUUACUUAUUUCAUCUGCUGUAUAUUUAAAAUGUAUAAUAAUGAUAUUAAAAGAAGGUAAAAAAUUUAAAAAUUAUAAAAAACAAAUUAUUACUUUAUUUAUUCUUAUUUUAUAUUUUAUGAUUGGCUUUUCUAAUUUACAUCCAUUUGGUUAUAAUAUAAAUUUAUUGUUUAAUCAUAUUACAUUUAAUUAUUUAUAUUUAUUUAUUAUUAUUAUACAAAUUAUUUGUAUAACAUGGUUGUAUCCUUUAAAUUAUACCAAAAAAGUAAUAAUUCAUAAAAAAUUAUGUGUUAUGUCUCUUUUUUUGUUAUUUUGUUUUAUUCUUGCUAUUUUAUUCAUGUCUCUAAUAAUAUAUAUAUAUAAAAAUAUAUACAAGAAAUUAUAUUUUUUAUUAAUGUCUUUAGCCCUUUUAAUAUUUUUAUUUGUUUGUGUAAAUAAAUACAUUUUAUCCAGCAUCCAAGACAUUACACCAUAUAAAACAAAAAUAUAUAAUUUAUAUUUGUUGAACAUUGAUUUGUUACGGAAACGGUUUAACAGUAUAUUUUAUGGUCAAGAUCAUAAACAUAUUUUAAAUCAAACAAAAUACCAUUUUAAUUAUAAUUAUAAAAAGUUACAUUUUUGUUGGUGCUAUACAAUUAAAUAUAUUAUUCCGUUCAUAUUAAUUUUUAUAUUUGUAUCAAAUGUUAUUUGUAACAUUCACCACAUAUUGUUUUUAAGCAAGCAAGGUACCAAUAAUGAUUAUAAUAUUAAUAAUAAAGGAGAGAAUAAAUUUUUUAGUAUCCCACCACCGAACCAGCACACUAUCCACUCAAACUUAAGAAAACAAAUAAACGGAAAUGGACAUAUAUCUUUUUUUCAACAUACAAAUGAUCACAAAAAUUAUGAACAAGCAAAAUAUAAUAUAAAUGAUAUACGCCCGGCAUUUCAGGGGGAAAAUCUUACCACAUCGGGGAGUGGUAGUAGUAGUAGUGAUCGUAGUAGCAGUAGCAGUAGUGGUAAUAUUACCGAGUUAUUAUUUCCCCCCAACGAAGCAACUUUUAAACUUGCAAAUAUAAGUGGAACAAGCCCCCUAAAUAUAAGUUAUUUGUUCGGUUUACAUAUACAAUUUAUUAUUACAAUAUGUUUAUUACUGGUAAUAUUGUUAUUUUCAUUAUCUCCAUUAUUAAUUUCAUUUAAAUUUAAUACAUUUACUUCUCACGUUAUCUAUAAAUGGAAUAUAAAAGAUAUACAUGUAAGAAAAAAUAUAUUUAAUCAUUAUUAUUAUACGAGACCUAUAUUUUUUUUUUGAAGAAAUUUUACCGAUCAAAAAAAUUAUGCCUUCUUAUGUGUUUAACCACAUAAAGCAUCAUUUAAAAGAGAAUAAUUUUACAGAAUCUUUAAAAGAACAUUAUCAAAAAAACUUAAAUAUAUAUGAUAAAAGUUAUAUAUAUAAUAAUAAAAUGCAGUACGAAAUGUACA
This is a long non-coding RNA of Piliocolobus tephrosceles (Ugandan red Colobus), 1458 nucleotides long. The record is from Ensembl. NCBI's taxonomy places the organism in Eukaryota, Metazoa, Chordata, Mammalia, Primates, Cercopithecidae.